This 600-nucleotide unclassified non-coding RNA is filed under the name Hevea brasiliensis (rubber tree). The record is from RNAcentral. Lineage: Eukaryota; Viridiplantae; Streptophyta; Magnoliopsida; Malpighiales; Euphorbiaceae.
GAAAAUUGACAUUCUUUUACAAAUAGAAUUUACAUUACAGGUCAAGGUCAGUAUAUAAAAUAUUCUGAAAGCCCAUUCACAAGCCAUCACCAUAAAGGCCCAAAUUUCAUGAUGCAGUACACAAUCUAUUUAGACAGUUUUCCCAUGUAAAUUGAUUAUAGCACACAACCGUUGUUCACUCAUCACGUGGAUUCAUGGAUUUCUCAUAGUUGGCACUGAUGUGUAUGCAGCCACAUCUAUUGUAAGAGACUGAUCCAAAUAUUUGAUACAAAAAUCUAUCAAUUCAGACAACAUAUUCACAUCAAUCUAGGCUAGCUAAAAUAACAAAAUGAGACAUCUAGGCUCUGGCCUGCCUUAGUAAGUGCUAGGCAACUUAUUUGGUUAAUCCAAAUGCUAAAUUCAUCAGAUUAAGCUCCAAUCAUUCUUGACUCAUGCUAAGCCCAGGUUUUUCUUCCACCAUGAUAAAGUUCUUGAGAAAUUCAUCAACCGUACAGCCUAAUGUCCUAAACAGCAAGCUAUACUGCAAAUGGACAUAAUCAGAGUCGUUCAGCAUGACCUUGGAUAUGAGGGACAACUAUUUCCUUAAUCCAAUUGAUAAAA